Molecule: long non-coding RNA, 947 nt
Organism: Asparagus officinalis (garden asparagus)
Lineage: Eukaryota; Viridiplantae; Streptophyta; Magnoliopsida; Asparagales; Asparagaceae
Exons: 2
Source: RefSeq, a predicted model, not a curated record
ACCCUUCGGCGGAGAUCGAGGAACUGCUCCUGCUUCAGGUUGAGGCUCAGGAGUCGGCAAUAGGGAAGGCGAGGGAGCUGUGUGACUACGUGGAUGCGGUGUGCGACGCCGAGGAGGAGAGGGCGGGAGAGGUUCUUGUGGAUCUUCCGGUCUGGGGGAGCCCUAGGUGUUUGGUCGCGGCUCUAAUGUCCUCAUCAUUGUAGAAGAAGAAGUGGGGGAGAGGGGGGGAGGGAGAAAAGACUGAGAGGUUUGCUUAUUAGGUAACUCAAUUCUCGAGUUUAUUUUUUGAAAUCAGUCCUUCAAGUCAGUAGUAUAAUUAGGAAUUAGAUGGGGUUUUAUCGCCAUGCCUGUCUAUGCUCGAAGCAUUUCUUGAUCUCCUCCGUGGUUUCUGACGGGAGGUCAGCCCGGCCGGUUGAGCUGGAAGUGCCGGUUCUUUAGGACUGCUAAACAACUUGUAGGAUGGAGCAUGAACCCCAGCAGUUGUUGAAAGGCUAUAUUGGCUUUCGGCUCCAUAGGAUUACGUGGAGUGCGUUUAUGAUUGGUGUUGAGGUGAGAUGAUUGGAUUUGAGAUGAAGUUUUAGAAGACGGAUUAAUAGCUGGGCGUCUCAAAGUGGUGGUGUCUGGCGAGUCUUGUCUGAGAAAUUUCUGAUAUUUAUACUGGACUAGAGACUUGUCACAUAGUUUUAGUAAUCGUGGAAAAUCUUCUGUAACUAUGAGUUGCCUUAUAAAGUAAAUGGACGAUCCAGGAGGAGGUAUCUAAUCUUGCUUACUUUGAAUGGCAUGAUUAAUGUUCUUUGUAUUUAUUGAGAUAGAUGACACAGUUUGAUUUCAUUUUCUUUACUUUCUUUUGUGGUCGGUUACUAGGAUGCUACUGUCUAUGGUGCUCUAGCACCAUUCGCCCUGGUUUGAAAAUUGAAAUAUCGUAAAAUAAUGGCCUGAUUUUUAUA